UUUCCGUAGGUGAACCUGCGGAAGGAUCAUUAUCGUGAUAUCCAUACCAACCCUUGUGAACUGUGAUGUCGUGUGGGAUGUGCCAAGAUUCGUUUUGGUACCGCCUUUAUCGGUGAUGAGCAAUCAUUCAUCGACACACGUGUUUUGUGAUUCUAUACACGUUUUAUACCGCUUCUGAGCACCGCGAUAUCUGAUGUAUCGCGUCUUUAAAGCAACUAAAACUCUUGACAGUGGAUAUCUUGGCUCUC
This 248-nucleotide unclassified non-coding RNA is filed under the name fungal sp. RNAcentral describes it as "partial contains small subunit ribosomal RNA, internal transcribed spacer 1, and 5.8S ribosomal RNA". The record is from RNAcentral. Lineage: Eukaryota; Fungi. RNAcentral also lists the same sequence under 1 other name.